GUCAACCAGUGCACUAUCAAAGACUCAUGCCUUAAUAGGCAACAGAACCCAUCAGAACCAGGUCUAUGUGACCUUGCUAGACAGGUGGUAUGUCUGAGAAAAGCCUUGGUCAGAAAAGCCAGGCAGAUGAGGCUGUUUGACUCUAUACUGUCCAAUAAGGUGAACUAAGCAAAAACUGCAGGGGAGCUAUUUAGUCUUCUCUGUCUUUUCAGGCACAGGGAUGGACAAGUAGGACUGGCCAGCAGUCUGCUUCCUUCUCAUUGUGCAGUUAGAAACCAGCUGUGAGUAGUGAGGGAGUGGGUUCAUAUAUGACCAGACUGUGGUUUCCACUGACAAGCAAGUUGGUUUCCAGGAAUUUCGAUCCCGGAAUAGUUAAGGAGAGUUAACGAUGGUACCAUACAGGAUAUCCUGCUUGAUACAGGAUAUGGGGAUGGCCCAUUGCCUGGGUCUAUAAAAGCCAUUAACUGAGCUGAGAACUUAGCCGAAGUAACAAUUUAAGGAUCCAAUUAGCACGACAGCUGGAUUUUUAAUUCUUUUCUGUUUCCCCCAACUUUUUCACAAGUGAACUGUGCUCUAAAAAAAAAAUGACCCAUUUUUAAACUCACAUGUUACUGGAAGAACAAAAAUUCUGGUUAAGGUGCACUAGACUGUCACUGGUGGAGAUAAUGAAGGAAGAAAAUAGGAAAUGUCCGAAUAGAGAUCCAACCAGGGGUCUUUGAUUAGUUUUCACCCGUUCUUGUCGGCCUUCUGUCCUUCCUUCCUUCCUUUUAUUUCCCUUCUUUCCUUUCUCUAUUAAGAAACAAUAAUAAAUGUUUUCAGGAGAGAGGUGGUUUUUUUUCUAAGACUAGGGGGUGAUACUGAAACUUCUUUGUGGUCAAUUCAGAAGGCCCAGAAGAGGUCCAUGCAGUCAACCCUAUGACUUUCUUAAAAGUCUUGAUCACGUAAAGAUUUUUUUUUCCUCCAGGACAUUGACCAAAAUCCAGCAGAGAGAAUUCGAACAUUUUCCUUGGAAACUUCUUAAAGUCACCUAUACCUUUAUACCUCCACUUUUAAGUUCAUGUAUUUUCCUGUGGAAUUUAAUACCUGGCAUUGUGAACUAUGGUGGGCCUGCUGUUGACGCCCAGAGGAAUCAGGGAGCCUAACUAUGGUAGGCAUUAAAAAAAUUGCAGAGAUUUCAAAGAAAACAGUUUGAUAAAUCCCUUUGAAAACCUCUGCAGCAUUUCUUCCUAAAUUGUUUAUUCCAGACAAUGGGUGACACUGGGGGCCUCCAGGCAGUUUGACUUUCCAUUUUAUGGGUCCUUGUCUUUUUUCUGUGAAGAUGAGAUAAGAUCUGUCCUGUGUGCUUUGAAGUCAUUUCUGUCAUUUAACAAAUUCUCUUGGAAAGAAGCAAUGGGUGCAUCCCCAGCUAUGGAAAGGAUGCCCUUCAUUGAACUGCCCUCAUCAAGAGGCACACGAGAUAAUAUGAUGGAAAGAGCUUGACCUUUGAGAUCAGACACAUAACACUAUUGCACAGUAGCUUUGUGAAUUUGGAUGUGCUUUUAAUCUCGCUAAGCCUUGGUUUUCUCCUCUAUAUCAUUAUGCUGAUAAUACCCAUUGUGAUAGUUAGGGUUCUUUGGUUAUUAGCAACAGACAGU
Molecule: long non-coding RNA, 1634 nt
Filed under: Sus scrofa (pig)
Lineage: Eukaryota; Metazoa; Chordata; Mammalia; Artiodactyla; Suidae
Description: lncRNA (ENSSSCG00040037529.1)
Source: RNAcentral